Molecule: long non-coding RNA, 232 nt
Organism: Conger conger (European conger)
Lineage: Eukaryota; Metazoa; Chordata; Actinopteri; Anguilliformes; Congridae
Exons: 3
Source: RefSeq, a predicted model, not a curated record
GACUGCAGACCCUGAAGAUGAAGUGACCUACAGCACAGUGUUCACCAACACACAGUCAUCACCACACAGAAUAAGUCCACAUCAGUCACAGCCGUCGGAAAACCCUGCAGAUGAGGUUCUGUACAGCUCACUCGUCUUGAAAAAUCUACAGACCACACACUCAUCUCACCGUUCUGCAGCUGAUAGAGCCGGUGAUGUCAUUUACAGCUCAGUUGCCGGGCAGAACACACAG